GAUGAAGAACGUAGCGAAAUGCGAAAAGUAAUGUGAAUUGCAGAAUUCAGUGAAUCAUCGAAUCUUUGAACGCACAUUGCGCCCGCUGGUACUCCGGCGGGCAUGCCUGUCCGAGCGUCAUUUCAACCCUCAAGCCCUCCUUCGGGAUGGGCCUGGUGUUGGGGCUCGGCCGCCAUCUCCGGCGGCCGUCCCCUAAAUACAGUGGCGGUCACGUCGCGACUCCUUUGCGUAGUAGAAACCCCUCGCUCCGGAUAGCAACGCGGUCCACGCCGUAAAACCCCCAAUUUUCAAUGGUUGACCUCGGAUCAGGUGGGAAUACCCGCUGAACUUAAGCAUAUCAAUAAGCGGAGGA
Molecule: unclassified non-coding RNA, 352 nt
Filed under: soil metagenome
Description: partial contains 5.8S ribosomal RNA, internal transcribed spacer 2, and large subunit ribosomal RNA
Rfam family: 5.8S ribosomal RNA (bases 1-120)
Source: RNAcentral